UGGGGUUGUGGUUUAGUGGUAGGGCACAUGCCUAGCGUGUGUGACACUGGGUUCAAUCCUCAGCACCACAA
RNAcentral lists this transfer RNA (71 nucleotides) under Marmota monax (woodchuck). RNAcentral's name for it is "tRNA.Ala". The record is from RNAcentral. Lineage: Eukaryota; Metazoa; Chordata; Mammalia; Rodentia; Sciuridae.